Hylaeus anthracinus is the source of this 993-nucleotide long non-coding RNA. RefSeq lists it as uncharacterized. NCBI's taxonomy places the organism in Eukaryota, Metazoa, Arthropoda, Insecta, Hymenoptera, Colletidae. The transcript has 3 exons. The record is from RefSeq and is a predicted model, not a curated record.
GAGUCCUCGUUCUCCAUUUCGUCGUCAAACUUGUUUCCUUCUAGUGACCUGUUUUAUUUCGCUUCUUUUUUCAUGCUAAUUAACAUAAUAUUGUAGUAAGUGAAAAAACGACUUUGACUAUCGAAACACUAGCAGGUGCUACGAGGAAUAGCUUCAUUGAAACUCAUGGAAAUAAAAGUAGCGUUUCGUAAUUGUUGUGCUUCUCAGUGAAAGUUCUUAAACGGGUCACCGUUUCUCGUGUACGACCGGCUCGAAACACGAGACUGAAUACGACGUUUAUCUAUCGACACUGUCGCACGAUUCAAUGGUGAAAUGGCGAUUAACCAACUGAUACGUAAUCGCGAAAAUUUCGAAACGUUUGGCUCCGCACAUGAUUAAUUUAACCCGCGAAUAAUUAAUCGGUGAAUAUAGCCUCUAGAGACAACUCUAUAGCGUCCAUUGUUUGAUCGUCACUUGUAAUUAUUAUGCCUCUCGUUUGGUUCGAAUAGCAUACGAUUGAUCGUAGUCCAGUCACGUUAGAUUUUAUCGUGGAAAAUCGUGUCGAACAAGGUAGGAAUUAAGCUACGGUAAAGCUAGCAGUUCUCGAUUAAAAUAAGUGGGAUACGCGUGUGUCCAUGGAUUAUGAAUUUAUAUGAGAAAGGAACUUCCAUAUUUCAUCUGGCCGUGUCAUGAAUACUGAAUCGUGUACAAAUGAUAUAAGAGAAUCUCUUUGGUUAUUACGUGACAAUUGUUGCAUGUGUAUCGCAUAGUUCAGAAUCCAAAAUGAUGGAAAAGAAGAGACGGAGCCUUCUACGGAAGGCCAAGGACGAGAUUGAACUGGAUAAAAUGAACAAACAGAAACAGGGCAAGGUUCGCAGGAUUUACAUUGUAUAUCAUUGUAUCGAUGAAAACCUCACAGUUAUGACCGAGAGCUAUAACAAAGUGUUUGUAAACUCGACUCAAUAUCCAGUGUUAAUUCGAUUAAUGAAAAUUCUUAACGAAGAAGAAACGAGU